This 606-nucleotide ribosomal RNA is filed under the name Cryptococcus sp. CECT 11955. Its description in RNAcentral is "eukaryotic LSU rRNA". It matches the Rfam family "Eukaryotic large subunit ribosomal RNA", at positions 66 to 659 of the family's 3401-position model. The record is from RNAcentral. Lineage: Eukaryota; Fungi; Basidiomycota; Tremellomycetes; Tremellales; Cryptococcaceae.
UAACAAGGAUUCCCUUAGUAACGGCGAGUGAACCGGGAAGAGCUCAAAUUUGAAAUCUGGCGUCCUCCGGGCGUCCGAGUUGUAAUCUAUAGAAGCGUUUUCCGCGCCGGACCGUGUAUAAGUCUCCUGGAACGGAGUAUCAAAGAGGGUGACAAUCCCGUGCUUUACACGAUGACCGGUGCUAUGUGAUACGUUCUCUACGAGUCGAGUUGUUUGGGAAUGCAGCUCAAAACGGGUGGUAAACUCCAUCUAAAGCUAAAUAUUGGUGGGAGACCGAUAGCGAACAAGUACCGUGAGGGAAAGAUGAAAAGCACUUUGGAAAGAGAGUUAAACAGUAUGUGAAAUUGUUGAAAGGGAAACGAUUGAAGUCAGUCGUGUCCAUUGGGUUCAGCCGGUCCUGCCGGUCUACUCCCUUUGGACGGGUCAACAUCAGUUCUGACCGGCGGAUAAUGGCACGAGGAACGUGGCACCCUCCGGGGUGUGUUAUAGCCUCGCGUCGCAUACGCUGGUCGGGACUGAGGAACGCAGCUCGCCUUCAUGGCCGGGGUACGCCCACGUACGAGCUUAGGAUGUUGACAUAAUGGCUUUAAACGACCCGUCUUGAAA